This 490-nucleotide ribosomal RNA is filed under the name uncultured bacterium. RNAcentral's name for it is "partial 16S ribosomal RNA". It matches the Rfam family "Bacterial small subunit ribosomal RNA", at positions 28 to 507 of the family's 1533-position model. The record is from RNAcentral.
GAUGAACGCUAGCGGCAGGCCUAAUACAUGCAAGUCGAACGGGAUCCAGAUCAAAGCUUGCUUUGGUUUUGUGUGAGGGGCGCACGGGUGCGUAACGCGUGAGCAACCUACCCUUGUCAGGGGAAUAGGCCGGCGAAAGUAGGAUUAAUACCGCAUGACAUCAUUGAGAGGCAUCUUUCGAUGAUCAAAGAUUUGUCGGACAAGGGUGCGCUCGCGUGCCAUUAGCUAGUUGGUAAGGUAAAGGCUUAGCAAGGCUACGAUGUCUAGGGGCUCUGAGAGGAGCAUCCCCUACAUUGGUACUGAGACACGCGCCAGACUCCGACGGGAGGCAGCAGUAAGGAAUAGUAGACAAUGGAGUUUAGUCUGACCCACCCAUCCCGCGUGCAGGAACACUGCCUUAGGGUUUGCAACCUGCUUUUAUACGAGAACAACCGUCGGUACGUGCACCGGUCUGCGCGUACCGGACGAAUAAGGAACGGCUAACUGCGUG